GACGAACGCUGGCGGCAUGCGUAACACAUGCAAGUCGAACGGGACGUUCGGGUUUCGUUGGGCGACGGUGGGGAACGGCGGGGGAACUGCCCUUUGGUAGGGGAUCACUCGCUGAAAGGGGCCCUUAUAACACAGAAGGUCGUGGGGCAAAAGAGUUACUGCCACUGGAUGGGGGCGCGUUGGUUUAGCUGGUUGGGAGGGUAAAAGCAUCUCAAGAGGACGAUCCAGAGCUGGUGUGAGAGGAAGGUCAGCCACACUGGGAGUGAGACACGGCCCACACCCCUACGGGACGGAGCAGUGGAGAAUAUUGGACAAUGGGCGAAAGUGUGAUCCAGCAAUGGCGCGUAAGUGGUGAAGGCCUUAGGGUUGUACAGCUCUUUUACCCGAAAAGAUAAUGACGGUACCGGGAGAAUAAGCACCGGCUAACUCCGUG
RNAcentral lists this ribosomal RNA (433 nucleotides) under uncultured bacterium. Its description in RNAcentral is "partial 16S ribosomal RNA". It matches the Rfam family "Bacterial small subunit ribosomal RNA", at positions 28 to 507 of the family's 1533-position model. The record is from RNAcentral.